RNAcentral lists this ribosomal RNA (243 nucleotides) under uncultured bacterium. Its description in RNAcentral is "partial 16S ribosomal RNA". It matches the Rfam family "Bacterial small subunit ribosomal RNA", at positions 57 to 305 of the family's 1533-position model. The record is from RNAcentral.
GCAAGUCGAGCGCGAAAGUUCUUCGGGACGAGUAGAGCGGCGGACGGGUGAGUAACGCGUAGGAAUCUACCUGGUAGUGGGGGACAACUUGGGGAAACCCAAGCUAAUACCGCAUACGCCCCACGGGGGAAAGUGAGGGACCUUCGGGCCUCACGCUAUCGGAUGAGCCUGCGUAGGAUUAGCUAGUUGGUGAGGUAAAAGCUCACCAAGGCGACGAUGGAUAGCCGGCCUGAGAGGGUGAUC